This 353-nucleotide unclassified non-coding RNA is filed under the name soil metagenome. Its description in RNAcentral is "partial contains 5.8S ribosomal RNA, internal transcribed spacer 2, and large subunit ribosomal RNA". The stretch from base 1 to 120 matches the Rfam family "5.8S ribosomal RNA", at positions 35 to 154 of the family's 154-position model. The record is from RNAcentral.
GAUGAAGAACGUAGCGAAAUGCGAUAAGUAAUGUGAAUUGCAGAAUUCAGUGAAUCAUCGAAUCUUUGAACGCACAUUGCGCCCGCCAGUAUUCUGGCGGGCAUGCCUGUCCGAGCGUCAUUUCAACCCUCGAACCCCUCCGGGGGGUCGGCGUUGGGGAUCGGCCCUUUCACCGGGUGCCGUCCCCCAAAUACAGUGGCGGUCUCGCCGCAGCCUCUCAUGCGCAGUAGUUUGCACACUCGCACCGGGAGCGCGGCGCGUCCACGUCCGUAAAACACCCCAAACAUCUGAAAUGUUGACCUCGGAUCAGGUAGGAAUACCCGCUGAACUUAAGCAUAUCAAUAAGCGGAGGA